RNAcentral lists this ribosomal RNA (465 nucleotides) under uncultured bacterium. RNAcentral describes it as "bacterial SSU rRNA". It matches the Rfam family "Bacterial small subunit ribosomal RNA", at positions 338 to 795 of the family's 1533-position model. The record is from RNAcentral.
CCUACGGGGGGCUGCAGUCGAGAAUCUUUCGCAAUGGGCGCAAGCCUGACGAAGCGACGCCGUGUGAGCGAUGAAGGCCUUCGGGUUGUAAAGCUCUUUCGCUAGGGAACAAGAGAGGUAGGAUAACACCCUGCUGAUUUGAUGGUACUUGGUAAAGAAGCACCGGCUAACUCCGUGCCAGCAGCUGCGGUAAUACGGAGGGUGCAAGCAUUGAUCGGAAUUACUGGGCGUAAAGGGCGCGUAGGCGGUUAGGAAAGUUAGAUGUGAAAUUCCGGGGCUCAACCUCGGAGCUGCAUUUAAAACUUCCUGGCUAGAGUGAAGUUAGGGUAAACGGAAUUCCACGUGUAGCGGUGAAAUGCGUAGAUAUGUGGAAGAACACCGGUGGUGAAGACGGUUUACUGGGCUUUAACUGACGCUGAGGCGCGAAAGCAAGGGGAGCAAACAGGAUUAGAUACCCUUGUAGUC